RNAcentral lists this unclassified non-coding RNA (319 nucleotides) under fungal sp. RNAcentral's name for it is "partial internal transcribed spacer region". The stretch from base 1 to 46 matches the Rfam family "Eukaryotic small subunit ribosomal RNA", at positions 1786 to 1831 of the family's 1831-position model. Lineage: Eukaryota; Fungi. The record is from RNAcentral.
AAGUCGUAACAAGGUUUCCGUAGGUGAACCUGCGGAAGGAUCAUUACAAAUAGUUGGGGGGGAGGAGGAGGAAGGAGAUGAUGGGGGAGAGCUUGGCUGUUGGUGGGAUAGAGUAGUUGGGGAGAGUUCUGCUCUCUCUCUCUACUCUGCCUCCUGACCGCGAGGUACCCCCCACCACCCUACCACCCUACCCGCCUACAUUAGCACGGGAUGCACGCUUUAGUGUGUGUAGUCCCGAUGUUUACGCUUGCUUGUUUGACAGAGUGACAUGGACCCAAUAAUCAAUAUACAACUUUUAACAAUGGAUCUCUUGGCUCUU